UUUACCAAAUCUAUGUUGCUUUGGCGGGUCANNGGCCUCUCGGGGAAGGUAAACCCCUUCUCGCGCCCGCCAAAAGCCCAAGCAAACCCUGUGAUCAGUGUCGUCCGAGUAUACACAAUCGUUAAAACUUUCAACAACGGAUCUCUUGGUUCCGGCGUCGAUGAAGAACGCAGCGAAAUGCGAAAAGUAAUGUGAAUUGCAGAAUUCCGUGAAUCAUCGAAUCUUUGAACGCACAUUGCGCCCUUUGGUAUUCCGAAGGGCAUGCCUGUUCGAGCGUCAUUGCACCCCUCAAGCACUGCUUGGUAUUGGGCCUCGCCCCCGUGGCGGGCCCGGAUUCUAGUGGCGGUCCAGCGAGACUUCAAGCGUUAGCAAGAUUAUCACAUCCCGCUUAGCAAGCCUAUCUCGAUGCGUGCCGGCCAGACAACCCCAUCUAUCUCCAAUGAUUGACCUCGGAUCAGGUAGGGAUACCCGCUGAACUUAAGCAUAUC
This 488-nucleotide small RNA is filed under the name Physconia grisea. RNAcentral describes it as "eukaryotic LSU rRNA". The stretch from base 126 to 279 matches the Rfam family "5.8S ribosomal RNA". The record is from RNAcentral. Lineage: Eukaryota; Fungi; Ascomycota; Lecanoromycetes; Caliciales; Physciaceae.